CAAUAGCGUAUAUUAAAGUUGUUGCGGUUAAAAGCUCGUAGUUGGAUUUCUGCUGAGGACGACCGGUCCGCCCUCCGGGUGAGCAUCUGGUUCGGCCUUGGCAUCUUCUUGGUGAACGUAUCUGCACUUGACUGUGUGGUGCGGUACCCCAAGGGACUUUUUUACUUGAGGAAAAUUAGAGUGUUUCAAGCAGGCAUAACGCCUUGAAUACAUUAGCAUGGAAUAAUAAGAUAGGACCUCGGUUCUAUUUUGUUGGUUUCUAGAGCUGAGGUAAUGAUUAAUAGGGAUAGUUGGGGGGCAUUCGUAUUUAACUGUCAGAGGUGAAAUUCUUGGAUUUGUUAAAGACGGACUACUGCGAAAAGCAUUUGCCAAAGGAUGUUUUCAUUGAUCAA
This 392-nucleotide ribosomal RNA is filed under the name uncultured eukaryote. Its description in RNAcentral is "SSU rRNA". It matches the Rfam family "Eukaryotic small subunit ribosomal RNA", at positions 592 to 980 of the family's 1831-position model. The record is from RNAcentral.